GGCAUGAAAUUAAUUUGGAUGUUUUGGAUGUUAAUUCCACUUUGAAAUCAAACUCUGAGCACACAGUCAAUCACUCAGUAAUCGCUGCUGAAUGGGUAUGUGUGAUGUCUCUGAGCUCCAUGGUUGCGAGGUUUUAAACAUCUCUAUGCUUCUCUCUAAGACGACCACUUCCUCUUUUCGCCGUCUUCCUCAUCCGAAACAGUGGUAUGGUUCCUGGUUAGCUAGCUGUGGCACUGAUCACUAACUCUAAAGUUCCACUCCACUCUGUCCGUCUCUUUCUGUCAGUCACGUCCAGGGUCUUCAUGGCGACUCUCCUGUCCUGGGAUUUGGUUUCUGUGGUCAUCAUGCUGUUCCUUGUCUACACAGAGUCAGUGACAAAAAUUAAAACAAAUAAAUCAGCUUCUUUGGGAGAAGAUGUUUAUUUGGUGUGCAAUGAAUCCAUGACGAACACAACUAAUCAAGUCAUCUGGAGAAAGGACACGGUUCUUAUUCUCUCUCAUUCCAAGGGGAAAAGAACUCACAGAAACUUCACCUCAGGCAGGAUGAGUGCUGACUCUCUUACUCCUACAGAGCUUAUUAUAUCUAUUGUAGAGCUAACUGACACCGGGACCUACAACUGUACUGUCACAGAUCGAAGGGGUGUUAAGACAAUGGAGUGGAAUUUGACUAUCACAGAUAACCUCAUAGAUAAUGCUGAAAAUGGCCUACAGAUGUUGUUGGUCUUCACAAUUCCGUCUGCUAUUGGAGGAGUGGCUCUGUUCAUUGGUAUCUGCUGUAUGGUCUGGCUGUGUAGGAAAAUAAAAAAAGAACAGACAAGUCAUUGUGAAAGGCGAGGAGAGGAGAGCAAUGCCCCAUCUCAAGGUCACGCUGCCCAAAGAGCACAACGCCAGCGGAGUCAGUACUUCGAAAGAUUCAACUCAGUCUACGGACAUUACUGAACACAUCAGAAGCAAUCAGAAGUUGAAUCAAUAACAAAUCACUCCCCACCUGUUUUGGUAAAAAUCUGAAGGAUGGGGCUGGAGAAAUGUAACCACUCUCAAAUUCCUGGACAGAGCUAUGGAUGCAAGGACUGAUUAUAUAACAAUUAUAGUUUUCACCAUGUUUUGAGGCACCAUGUUUGUUUACAUUUAGUUUGUUUGCAAACAUUGGAGUAAAAUAUUCUUAUAUAUCGAGUUCUGAUAGGGUAAAACAGCUGAACUAAGUUCAUGAGGCAUUUAUAAGUUAUAUUCUUCAAGAAUCAAUGGGUAUAUAUCACAAAUGUAUAAAUUGACAAAGCUACUGCAGAUUUCCCCUUUAAAGUGAAUUCACCUAUACCUCAUAAAGACCUUAUUUAUGUAAAUAAAUUAGGAAUGUGUGUAAACCUACUCUCUCCUCUGGCUAUGGAAUUACACUCAAAUGUACAGUAAGAGUAAAACAAUUAAACUAAAAACAUUGCCUUCUUAUUAGGUAAUAUACUUUCAUACAUUAAAGGAGCAAUAUGCAGAAAUCACUGCCAUUUCCUGGUUGCAAAAAUUCUAAUUGUUUGCCUAAUUUCAGUUUAUGUGACAAAACGAGCAGUAAUUGUAUAGAAAACCAUUGCACCAUCUAAACCGCUGUGAAAUAUACUUUCUACAAACAAAAUUGUAUUGUAUUUUCAGCUGUUUGAAGCUGGUGUACAAAACCAAAAGUAAAAUAUGCAAAAAGGAAACUUAAGAACGGGAAGCAUAGAAAUAGCACACACAACAGAUAUACUGCUUCUUAGACUUGCUUUCAAUGAGAAUGACAGAUCUAUACU
This 1774-nucleotide long non-coding RNA is filed under the name Salmo salar (Atlantic salmon). RNAcentral describes it as "lncRNA (ENSSSAG00000088931.1)". Lineage: Eukaryota; Metazoa; Chordata; Actinopteri; Salmoniformes; Salmonidae. The record is from RNAcentral.